RNAcentral lists this ribosomal RNA (657 nucleotides) under Memecylon umbellatum. RNAcentral's name for it is "eukaryotic LSU rRNA". The stretch from base 222 to 377 matches the Rfam family "5.8S ribosomal RNA". RNAcentral also lists the same sequence under 1 other name. The record is from RNAcentral. Lineage: Eukaryota; Viridiplantae; Streptophyta; Magnoliopsida; Myrtales; Melastomataceae.
UGACUCGUGGAUUUGUUUAUCAUGUCUUGGUCAUGCGAGCUGGUGUGACCUGAUGUCAGGCGGUCAUGAUCGUAUGGUCGAUCGUAGCCGUCUUGACGAACAAACCAAAGUUCGGCACGGAUUGUGCCAAGGUGCUUUGUUAGGAUUGGUGUGUCCUCUCUUGCUUGCCUUCACAUAGGGCAACGGGCUUGGGUGCACGUGAUGUCCACCACAUUAAAAAUGACUCUCGGCAACGGAUAUCUCGGCUCUUGCAUCGAUGAAGAACGUAGCGAAAUGCGAUACUUGGUGUGAAUUGCAGAAUCCCGUGAACCAUCGAGUCUUUGAACGCAAGUUGCGCCCAAAGCCAUUCGGUUGAGGGCACGCCUGCCUGGGUGUCGUGAAUCAUUCGCCCCUUCUCACCCCUUGCGAUGACACAAGGGGUGGAUCGGGUGCGUAAUGUGGCCUCCCGUGGGAUCGAUGUGCAAAAUGUCGAGGCGCGGUUGGCCUAAAAUCGAGCACGGUGGUAGCUCGCACCACGACAAAUGGUGGAUCGUCUCAGACAAUCGUGAGAUUUGGUCGUGUCGUGUGUUGGGCUGCUCGUGGGCUUUUGACUCGGAUGAUCUUCGGAUGCGAUCCCAGGUCAGGCGGGGCUACCCGCUGAGUUUAAGCAUAUCAAUA